UACGUAGGGUGCGAGCGUUAAUCGGCAUUACUGGGCGUAACGCGUGCGCAGGCGGUUUUAUAAGCCAGGUGUGAAAUCCCCGGGCUCACCCUGGGAAUGGCAUUUGUGACUGUAAGACUAGAGUACGGUAGAGGGGGAUGGAAUUCCGCGUGUAGCAGUGAAAUGCGUAGAUAUGCGGAGGAACAACGAUGGCGAAGGCAAUCCCCUGGACCUGUACUGACGCUCAUGCACGAAAGCGUGGGGAGCAAACAGG
This 253-nucleotide ribosomal RNA is filed under the name uncultured bacterium. RNAcentral's name for it is "partial 16S ribosomal RNA". It matches the Rfam family "Bacterial small subunit ribosomal RNA", at positions 524 to 776 of the family's 1533-position model. The record is from RNAcentral.